GCAAAACGUUAUUUGGAUUUUAAACAGGGUACUUCUUGGUAGUGUUUAGAUUCAGCAUCAGAAAGGAAAAGAAAAUUUGCACGAAAUCUUAACAGUUUUUUUGACCGAAUAAGGCCAAAAAAUAUGAAGAUUCUGAAAAAUUGGCAUUUCAAAGAAAAAAGAUUAAGCGACCCCAUCAAUCUGUUCGAAGACUAGGAUCCAAAGUAUAUUCUUUAAAUCUCUGUUAUCUGUUCUAAAAGAAAAAUCUUUAAUUAGUGAAAAUACCGAAACAACUUUGUUGGCUUCCAUUCCAAGCAGGGCUAAUGAAAUUUUUAAAAGAAUGCUAAAAGCAGGAUGAUAUCCAAUGAUAUGACACCUCUAAUACAACAACAACAACCUACUCUUUUUUCUUCUUGGUACUUUAAUGGCAGCUAAAAUAAAUAUGGAUUGAGUGUUUCAAAACUGCUUAGUAUUGUAAAUGGUAUUAUAAAUGAUAAAUCAAACGAACGAGCAAUUCUACUUCAACAUUAAAAUUAUCCCAUUCGCAGACUGUGGACAGUUAAUUCACAAAGUUUGAGUCGUUUGGACUUACAACCAGUAUAUGCGUAGAGUAGUAUAUUCAGCUAAGUGAUCACCAUAUAUUAUCACUUUUUGUCCAAAUACAAAUAAUAUUAAAAAAUAAAAGGUCCUUUUCUGUAAAUAUAAAAAUCAUCCGCUGUAAGAAACUUACAAGUGUAGAAAGUAUAAUUCGUCAC
Long non-coding RNA from Diorhabda sublineata, 734 nucleotides. RefSeq lists it as uncharacterized. The transcript is spliced from 4 exons. The record is from RefSeq and is a predicted model, not a curated record. Lineage: Eukaryota; Metazoa; Arthropoda; Insecta; Coleoptera; Chrysomelidae.